CUGGUCAUAUAUAUAUAUAUGUUAUGUACAAGUUAUCAUUUUGUACAAAUUAUAAUUAGUACAAAAAUAUUGUACAAAUUAUAAUUUGUAUUUUGACUUUGUACGAAUUGUAAUUUGUACAAAAAGUGCUUGUACAAAUUACAAUUUGUACAAAAUAGGACAAAAAUUCACUUAUAUAUAAAUAACUUGUACAAUAAUUUUUUAUACGGAUUUUGGCGAAAAAAGCAUUGAUACACAUUAUUGAAUUGCUACGUACUAAAUGACCUGAAAGUAAACCUAAGUUACAUAAUUCAAAAGUAGUUCUUUAUCAAUUGUUAGAGCAGGUGAUAUAGUGAUUUAUGGAAUCAGGUAUUGCAAACCAUCUUUUGACUCUCAAAUCGAUAACGACCUGUUUUACAGGCAUUUUAACUGUUUCAUAUAGCGAGCGUUGAAGCUCAGGAACCGUUGCUGUGAAUAAACAUGUGUAUUUAGUUGCUUCAGUCAGACUUUUAGACAAAAUAAAUAUCCCAGAAGAUUAAACACCCCGUUUGGUUAGGAAUAUGACUAUGCUAAAGUCAAGAAUAUGUCAGUUGUUGUUUUGCCUUUUUUUAUCAUUGUUUUUUUUUUCAACAAUAUGAAAUAUGAAAUUUUACAAAUAUACCCCGUAAUCGUUUGCAAAGUUUCUAAAUAAAAAAAAAUACCUCAAAAUAACGAUAAGAACUAAUCAAGCAGUACUAUUGAAUGAUAUUUUUUUUUUAAGAAAAAGACGUUUAUGUAUUAAAAAUUUGAAAAAAAUCCUAUUUGUUUACUUUUUUUUCUCUCAAAAAUUUCAAAGAUCAACCUGCCUUUUGUAGUAAGUGUUGUGUAUAAACGGUGUAUUAUGUUAAUAAGGUUUAGUGUGUUGUCAGUUAAUUACAAUUCUAUUGUGUGAAUCAUUGCAUUUUUCACCAAAAUUCGUAUUUAAAACUGUUGUACAACAUGUACAAGUUAUAAGUGAAUUUUGGUCAAAUUUUGUACAAAUUAUAAUUUAAACAAAAUGAUAACUUGUACACAACAUAUACACUCAAUAGAUAGACCAUCUU
RNAcentral lists this long non-coding RNA (1061 nucleotides) under Mytilus galloprovincialis (Mediterranean mussel). Lineage: Eukaryota; Metazoa; Mollusca; Bivalvia; Mytilida; Mytilidae. The record is from RNAcentral.